CGAGGGAAGAGAAAGCGAAUUAGUAUGUUUUUGGAAUGGAUUUAGAACUAAGGAAAUAUCGAGCAUUGACAAUUGAAGCGCUUUUGGCCGUAGCCGUUCAGCCCUUGAGAGGUAUCAUUAUUUGGAAGGUGGGUUUUAGAAUAUAUGGUCUACUUGGUUACACAGCCUGAAUGUAGGCUGACUAUUGGGAAUUGUCCUUUUUCUGCCGAACAUUGUAGAUUUCAAGAAGCUACGAAAAGAAACAUGCUGUGGCAGACAAUGUUUGAACAUGUUUUUCCAGCGAAACUAAUUAGGCUGAUACGUGCAACGCUGGAUAGUUCGAAAUCACGUGUUCAGAUGUAGCAGACAAGUUGGCAGUAUGUUGAAGCAAGGAGGUGCACAUAUGAAUUUACUGUCUACAUUGGGUGCGAUUGAGAGUUAGUCUUGUAUUCUUUGGGUGUCAAUUAGAGUACUUGUAACUUAUACUUCAUAGCCCGAUAUUCCGAAUCUCAAUAUCAGACCAUCAAUCAAAUAACAAUCAUUUUAAAAGUUGGUUUUCAUGGGAAUUUUCUGAGGAAAUGCUGGGUUCCGGUUUGAAUUAUCAGAUUCCGGUAAAAAUACUGCAAAUCCUGGAAUUAAAAAAAAAGAACUUUGGGAUUUCGGUGGGAAUUCUUGGAAUCCGCUAGUAUUUUUUUUUGCGAUUUCGAUGGGAAUUCUGAGUUUUGAUGAAAGCUCUACAAUUUCAGUGAACUUCAUAUACUAAUGUUAUUUUUGCUAAUGAUUUCAGUGAAAAUUCCGGUGAUAAUUUUGGGUUUAUGGUGGGUAUUUUUAGAUUUAGACGAAAGUGCUGGAGAUCCGAAAAGUAUUCUGUGAUUCUGGAGGUAAUAUUAGGUUUUCUAUAAACAUUCUGAGUUCCCAAUAUCAAUUUUGGGAUUUUUAAGCGAGUUCUAUGAUUAUUAUUUUGAUUAUAUAGAAUAUUAUAUUCCUUGGACUGAGAUGAUUUUUUUUUUUGAUACCAGCAGAGAUUCUAGGAUUUAUUGUGGUCGUUCAUGGAAUCCGAAUGUAUCUAAAUAUCCAUGAGACAACCGGUAUUUCGUUAGUUAUUCAAAAAUAUCACUGUAAAUUGUGGUGGGAGUUUUGGUUACAUGAUGCUUUUUAAGAGCUCGAUGAAAAGGCUAGAAAUUCUACAUUUUGGGAUUUUGAGGGAAAUGUUCGGACUAUGAUUACAACCGGAAUUUCAGAUUUUCGAAAUCGAAAUCUCAGUAUACAUAGGUACCUAAAUUUAAGAAUAAUUACAGCAGGGAUUCGCUGGUUGGAACACGACUGCCUUCCAUCAAGCGAAUCCGAACCGCUAGUUGGAACGACUGACAGCUGAUGGAAAUACUCCAGACUAACGUAUCUGGAGAGCAAAUCGUCACCAAACGCACAUAUACAUACACAUUUGUUCUAUAUGUGAAGACUUCAAUGCGUCAAAAUCAGUUUGACAUCUUAUCUUGACAUUCAAGUGCUUUUUAGUCGGAAUUUUUUCCAACCACCAAACAUCCAACCAUCGAGUCAUUCCAUGUAGCGGACUCCCAACGAGCGAAUCCCCACUGUAUUAUAAAAUUAGAAUGUCUAUCUGAAUAUGAACCGAAUUCCCAAAACUGUAACCACAAUCUAAGGAUUCUCAUCGGAAUCUAAGAAAUCCUAUCGCAAACCUGCAAGUUUCUACCGGAAUACCAGGUUUACUUAUUGAAUUCCAUGAUUCCUAUGAAAAUAACAGGUUUCCCUCAGCAACCCAACCAUUUCUUCAGACACCAAUCGGAAUUCUCGCCGAAAUCUCACAAUACAUUCAGCUCUACUAUACGGCUCUACUGGGCAUAUACUGUAUCUAAACGAAAACAAUUAGUGAUAUUAGAUAUUUUCAUAAUGCUUUUGGAUGACCUAAAACUUUUGGUGAAUUCAAUACCUUACGAAAUUCAUUUCUACAUGUACACUGCUUUUACUACAUUUUCGUGAAUAUUGUUUUCUGUCCAAUUUAACUUUAUGAGUUUAUUGCUAUCAGAAAAAUAUAUAUUGAGAAGCUUUUGAGUAUGCUUGUAGAUCUUUAUUUCAGGAAGUUUGGAUGAAUCUAAACAAUCUAUUUUUAAAACACUUCCUACAACUCAUUUCUCUGUACCUCUUGGCAAAUGUACAAACUGCAUAGGCAUCCAAAACAUCAUUAUUUGUGCUCGAAAAAUCCUUAAACUAUAUUCUUGAAAAAUCCUUUAACUAUAUUGCUGUGAAGAUCAGGGUAGGUGUUACGUAUAUUCGAAGAUCUUACGAUAGAAAAGAUGCAUGGAAACGUCCUACAUAAAUGAAAUCCUCGAAAUCAACUUCUUAUAUUUUUGUCCAAAACUUGCGAUUUGUUUUUCUUAAAUCGUUUUUAUCAUACAGUCAACUCUCCCUUACUCGAUAUUCCAUAUCUCGAUAUCGAGUUAGAGAAUAUUAUACUUCUUUGGUGGGUUUUCAUGGCUAACUCGGUGGUCCUUUGGAACGCAGUUGCACUAAAAAACUAACUGCAGAGGUACAAGUUCAACCUUCUAAUGGUAGUUCAUCUAAAAUUUUAGCAAAUUUGUGGAACAGGAUUAGGCAUACCAGAUGAUAUCGUUUGGGAGGACAUGUCCUCCUUUUUGACCAUAUGUCCUGUCCUCAUUUGGACUGUCCUUUGAAUAUAUCCAAAUAUCCAAUGAAUAUUUCACAAAAUGUACUACACAAAUACACAAUUAUACUGCCCAUACUCCCAUAACAUUCCCAAAUUCUAUGGGAUUUCCUAUGUAAAUUGGAUUGUUAUGCGAGUAAGAUCAGUAUACUAGAUACCCAUUCCUCAUCCUUAUUAUUUUCGUUAAAAUGUCUUUAAGUUUCUGUUUUGAAUGAAUUUUGGAGAUCCAAGAAGUAAGAUUUCAGGUUGAAAGCAUACUCACAGUUUGUUAACUCUCCGAAUUCAAAAGCAAAAAAUUUUCAAAAUGAUUUCAGCUACUAAUAUAUAUAUUUUUUUUUGCAUAUUCUGUUUAACAUAUUUGGGUAUUGUUCGAGAGAAGUAUUUGAAUUACGACUCAAUUCGAUUACCCUAAACUGUAGCAUAGGAAAUACUACUUCUUGUAAUGUAAUAUGUAAGUUUGAAUGUACUUGCACCCGAGUUCUAUAACAAAAAAAUAACAUUACUUUGAAAGACAUUACUUCGGAGUAAUGCAUUCGAUGUUGAUUCAGGUUUUAAGAAAAAUCAAUAGUGCCGACUGCCAGCUAAUAUGGAAAAGGCUGAAAAUUGAUCAAACAUUUUCCAAAGUCAAUUGUAGCAAGGACGUGGUUAGCUUUCGAUUUCGGUUAAAUUAAAUGUCCUCCUCUUUUUUCAAAGCCCAAAACUUAAAAUGUCCUCCUUUUAAAAAUUUGUAUCUGAUAAGCCUAAACAGGAUGCAAUUAUUGUGUAAUCUGUGUAUUAGAGUAUGCGUAAUUAAUCAGUCGUGUUCAUUGUACCAUUUCAAAAAAUAGAACCCUUGAUCGUCAAAUCUUUUAAGAGAACUGAAUUAUAGUUAAAUCCCUUUAGCUUGACAACUCUUACAAUAGUAGCCGUAACUAUAACGUGAAGUUAAUCGAUGUUUUAUAUUCCACUAAACUAUGUUCGUAGUUCGUUGGUUACAUUGCUCAUUGCAUAUUUUGUAAAAUUUUGAAUAUAGCUGAUGUGAUUGAUUGUUUAAUUAUUUCAUCGUAUGUCAUAAAAAAGAAAUGAUUGAGGUGCGUUUAUCAAAAGAUAUUGUUCGACAAUAGAAGAUAAACGUUCCUCCAUCCAUUAUUUAAAAUUUAAUUCUUUUUGAAGAAUAAUUAACAACAAUGAAGUAACACAACACAAUGUUAACAAUAACUGUGUUAAAAACCAUCAGAAGUUUCAAAUUCUGUCAAAGAUUAACUUGUUUACAAAAAAUCCUUGAACAAAUAUGUUGAUACUACUAUGGAAUUGUUGUGGGGAUUAGGGAUCCUUUGUAUAAUGAUAUAAUGAUCUAAUUUAAAAAAUGGCUGUCUCUGUAUUUCUAGCCAAAAAAGUUGAAAAAAGUGACUUUUUGACGAAUAGAGAAAGGCUUUUGUAGAAAUGUCUCAAAAUAAGACUUUUUAAUGACUUGCUAAAAAAAACUGACCAAGUUAUUUAAAAGUGUAGCCCUGGUAUUGUUAGCUAUCAUCCUAUGUCAAUAGAGUUAUCUAACGAAAUCAACAAAUUCGUCUUUUUAUAUGCUUGUUUAAAAUUCCUAGUUUUUUUUCUGGAAUAUUUGUGAUAAUAAAUGAUGUGUCGUCUAAAAUAAUGUUGAAAUCAUUGCCGUAAUCUCGUUUCACUUUUUGAAAAAUUAUCGUAAAAUCGAACUCUUAAGCUGAUACUGAGAAGUACUGAAACAAACAGUAAAAAUUUACUAAAAGUGGUCAAUGUUAUUUAUCUACCUAAAAGAUCAUAGCACGCUAAUGACUUGUAACCAUAUCGAAACUAAGCACAGUGGAGCUGAUCUUUGAAUGCAAAAAACAGGCAUGCGAGGUGUUGUAUCAUUUCAAAAUGCAAACGACCUCACCAUUUUCCAGCAAUUUAACAAACAGACGAACGACGAUGAGCAGGCCAUGCGAAUUGCUGAUGUGUGACAUACUUUUCUGACCUCUUGCAGAACAGUAAAAAAAUGAUAUUGUUUACUCCACGCCAUACACGUUUUUGCUUCGAUGCCGGUUCCGAUUUGUUGGUAUAAUUAUCAUUAGUGUAAAUCGAUUGGACUCGGGCUUCUUGCAUGCGGUGCGCUGCACUUCCAUAUUAACCCAACACAUGUCGAAUCAUUUGAACUUUCUAGAGUCUGUAUGGG
RNAcentral lists this long non-coding RNA (4826 nucleotides) under Aedes aegypti (yellow fever mosquito). RNAcentral describes it as "lncRNA AAEL025040". Lineage: Eukaryota; Metazoa; Arthropoda; Insecta; Diptera; Culicidae. The record is from RNAcentral.